UGCUACCAUGCAGUCGAGCGAUGAGCCCUUCGGGGUGGAUUAGCGGCGGACGGGUGAGUAACACGUGGGUAACCUGCCUUAUAGAGGGGGAUAGCCUUCCGAAAGGAAGAUUAAUACCGCAUGAAAUGUUUUUAUCGCAUGGUAGAAACAUCAAAGGAGUAAUCCGCUAUAAGAUGGACCCGCGGCGCAUUAGCUAGUUGGUGAGGUAACGGCCCACCAAGGCGACGAUGCGUAGCCGACCUGAGAGGGUGAUCGGCCACAUUGGAACUGAGACACGGUCCAGACUCCUACGGGAGGCAGCAGUGGGGAAUAUUGCGCAAUGGGGGAAACCCUGACGCAGCAACGCCGCGUGAAUGAAGAAGGCCUUAGGGUUGUAAAGUUCUGUUUUCUGGGACGAUAAUGACGGUACCAGAGGAGGAAGCCACGGCUAACUACGUGCCAGCAGCCGCGGUAAUACGUAGGUGGCAAGCGUUGUCCGGAUUUACUGGGCGUAAAGGAUGCGUAGGCGGAUGUUUAAGUGAGAUGUGAAAUACCCGAGCUCAACUUGGGUGCUGCAUUUCAAACUGGAUAUCUAGAGUGCAGGAGAGGAAAGCGGAAUUCCUAGUGUAGCGGUGAAAUGCGUAGAGAUUAGAGACACCAGUGGCGAGCGGCUUU
This 654-nucleotide ribosomal RNA is filed under the name uncultured bacterium. RNAcentral's name for it is "bacterial SSU rRNA". It matches the Rfam family "Bacterial small subunit ribosomal RNA", at positions 45 to 728 of the family's 1533-position model. The record is from RNAcentral.